UUUCGCAAUGCCCGAAAGGGUGACGAAGCGACGCCGCGUGUGGGAAGAAGGCCUUCGGGUUGUAAACCACUGUCGGGAGUUAAGAAAUGUGAGAGUGUUAAUAGCGCUUUUACUUGACUAAAGCUCCGGAGGAAGCCACGGCUAACUCUGUGCCAGCAGCCGCGGUAAUACAGAGGCGGCAAGCGUUGUUCGGAAUUAUUGGGCGUAAAGAGCACGUAGGCGGCUUUGUAAGUCAGUUGUGAAAGCCUUCUGCUCAACGGAAGAACGGCAGUUGAAACUACAAGGCUUGAGUGCGGGAGGGGAGAGUGGAACUUCUGGUGGAGCGGUGAAAUGCGUAGAUAUCAGAAGGAACACCGGCGGCGAAGGCGACUCUCUGGCCCGUAACUGACGCUGAGUGUGCGAAAGCUAGGGGAGCAAACGGGAUUAGAUACCCCGGUAGUCCUAGCCGUAAACGAUGGGCACUAAGUAGAGGGGUUUU
This 478-nucleotide ribosomal RNA is filed under the name uncultured bacterium. Its description in RNAcentral is "bacterial SSU rRNA". It matches the Rfam family "Bacterial small subunit ribosomal RNA", at positions 364 to 832 of the family's 1533-position model. The record is from RNAcentral.